GACGAACGCUGGCGGCGUGCUUACCACAUGCAAGUCGAACAGUGGCGAACGGGUGAGUAACACGUGAGUAACCUGCCCUCCACUUUGGGAUAACUCCGAGAAAUCGGGGCUAAUACUGGAUAGUGGGGGAUGGGCUCGCGGCCUAUCAGUUUGUUGGUGGGUUAUGGGUCACCAAGGCGUGACGGGUAGCCGGCCUGGGCGGGCGACCGGCCACACUGGGACUGAGAUACUGCGCAGAAUGGUACGGGAGGCAGCAGUGGGGAAUAUUGCACAAUUGGCGAAAGUCGGAUGCAGCGACGCCGCGUGGGGGAUGACGGCCUUCGGGUUGUAAACCUCUGUCAGCAAGGAAGCGGUACUUGCAGAAGAAGCGCCGGCUAACUACGUGCCAGCAGCCGCGGUAAUAC
RNAcentral lists this ribosomal RNA (404 nucleotides) under uncultured bacterium. Its description in RNAcentral is "partial 16S ribosomal RNA". It matches the Rfam family "Bacterial small subunit ribosomal RNA", at positions 28 to 526 of the family's 1533-position model. The record is from RNAcentral.